Long non-coding RNA from Branchiostoma floridae (Florida lancelet), 327 nucleotides. RefSeq lists it as uncharacterized. The transcript is spliced from 3 exons. Lineage: Eukaryota; Metazoa; Chordata; Leptocardii; Amphioxiformes; Branchiostomatidae. The record is from RefSeq and is a predicted model, not a curated record.
GACUGCAAGUGAACUUGAUGCAGGGCUUGGAGAGGAGGAUGACUUACUCGCCCCUCCUGCCUACCCUUCUGACACAUUCCUAGUGGAGGACAAAAGAACAAGUGAGAGUGAGAAGGAGAAUGACCCUAUGGAGAACCUUUACUCCAACCCUGUCAGGAAACCCAUCCCUGAAACACCUGCAAACAAGUCCUCCCCUGCUCCCGAUGACAGCAUCAUAGCUCUGAACCUGCGACAGAGGAGCUGCAGUCCCGGCCAGGACAGCAUGGGGGAGCCGACAAACGAUGACCAGGGGGAGGUCGAGGAUGAGGUGGAGAGAGAACCACACCC